CCUACGGGAGGCAGCAGUGAGGAAUAUUGGUCAAUGGACGAGAGUCUGAACCAGCCAAGCCGCGUGAAGGAUGACUGCUCUCUGGGUUGUAAACUUCUUUUAUAAGGGAGUAAAAGAAGGUACGUGUGUCUGUAUGCAUGUAUCUUAAGAAUAAGGAUCGGCUAACUCCGUGCCAGCAGCCGCGGUAAUACGGAGGAGCCGAGCGUUAUCCGGAUUUAUUGGGUUUAAAGGGAGCGUAGAUGGUUUGUUAAGUCAGGUGUGAAAGCUUGAGGCUCAACUGUGAAAUUGCAAUUGAUACUGUCAGUCUUGAGUACAGUUGAGGUAGGCGGAAUUCGUGGUGUAGCGGUGAAAUGCUUAGAUAUCACGAAGAACCCCGAUGGCGAAGGCAGCUUACUAAACUGUGACUGACGUUGAGGCUCGAAAGUGUGGGUAUCAAACAGGAUUAGAUACCCGGGUAGUC
RNAcentral lists this ribosomal RNA (460 nucleotides) under uncultured bacterium. RNAcentral describes it as "partial 16S ribosomal RNA". It matches the Rfam family "Bacterial small subunit ribosomal RNA", at positions 338 to 795 of the family's 1533-position model. The record is from RNAcentral.